This is a long non-coding RNA of Rana temporaria (common frog), 1363 nucleotides long. RefSeq lists it as uncharacterized. The record is from RefSeq and is a predicted model, not a curated record. NCBI's taxonomy places the organism in Eukaryota, Metazoa, Chordata, Amphibia, Anura, Ranidae. The transcript is spliced from 6 exons.
UUAAUAAAUAAUAAUAGUUUUUGUUUACAUUCACAAAUCCAAUAUCUACUACCACCGUUUGCAAGAAUGUUAUCAACCCAAGCUGGGGUUAGUUUGUUUAUUUUUCAUUCGUUUUUGGAGUAAUGUUUUGACUCCUUGGCUCUGAAAUUAAGCCACAAAAAAAAAAAGCUACCAUUCCAUAAAGAAACCUACUCCACAAUUCCACGGCUCGCAAUACUCCCACAAACACUGGGGCUCUCCUCCUACUGUGCUCUUGCUGCAGUGCAGACUGCUGCCACCUGCCCUCAAAGAAGAAAUAUUACAGUUCACGUUUGGAAGACAUCUCACCACACUAUGGAUUUAAUCCUGGUUAAGUAUGUUGCCUGUGGCACCCUUAAACACGUGAGUGGCUUAUCAAUUUUCCCCUACUCACCUUCCAUCAUUCCAUUAAUUAUUUCUUCUAAUUUAUAUCCCUCUCUCUUUUUUUGCAGUUGCAAUUUACUGACGUCAUGUCUCACAUGCAUGCCUAACAUUGGACCUGGAUGUGGAUGAGGAGGAAGCAAAUAGAAAAACACAUGAGGUUUUUUCAGCACUUCAUAGUUUUUUGACAUCGAAAUAAUUUCUUCUAUGCCAUUGUCAGUGUAUCACCUCCACACUUCCCAGAGCUACAAAUCUAAACUCAUGCUCUAUCUUGGCCCUGGUAUUUUGAUUCCAUUCUGACCACCAGGGAUCUGAAUGCUGCUCAGCUCCAUGCAAGAUAACAUAUUUAUCAGCAUAUGACACGCACAUUUAACUCCUGAAAAGCUUUCUGUUAAAGACGGAAGAAAGAGUGAAGAUAAUGUUGAAGAUAAAGUUCUUAAAGGGUCCCAGUAGGUUGCAGUUUGCGCAGUCCUCCUUGAUAUAUCAAUCCCCCUUCAAAUCACAGUGUCCCUUUCACAGUCACGUUCUAAAGAUCAUGCACUUACCCUGAGGAGGAGCAAUGGUCCUGCCAGAAGCCGAUGCUGGAGGGUCUUGAAUGCAGCUUUCUGUUAAAGACGGAAGAAAGAGUGAAGAGUCAAGCUCUAUGAUUUUGACCCCUGCUGCUGAAUCCAGGGACAUCCUCUGCCAGAAGGACAUCUCUUAGCUCCGCCUCCCACUCUCGCAACUUGAUAGGCUUUCCUCGGUUUUGUCCUAGUCGAAGCCUCUGCAUCUUCUUUGUAACCGUUGCCCGACAAUCAUAGAACCUGCAAAUGUACAUAAACAUUACAAUUACAUUAAUAAAAAAACAAAUACUUAGAUUAAUGUUUUUUGAAAACCACAUUUCUUUUCACAUUGUGAUGGUUAUAUGUAUACUGUUCAGCAUGUGGCUGUGACAAAUAAAUUUUUUGGUUACGUUGAACUGUUA